RNAcentral lists this ribosomal RNA (250 nucleotides) under uncultured bacterium. Its description in RNAcentral is "partial 16S ribosomal RNA". It matches the Rfam family "Bacterial small subunit ribosomal RNA", at positions 524 to 772 of the family's 1533-position model. The record is from RNAcentral.
UACGUAGGGUGCAAGCGUUGUCCGGAAUCAUUGGGCGUAAAGCGUGCGCAGGCGGUUUUGUAAGUCUGUCGUGAAAGCCCCGGGCUCAACCUGGGAAUGGCGAUGGAGACUGCAAGGCUAGAGUGUGUCAGAGGGGGGUAGAAUUCCACGUGUAGCAGUGAAAUGCGUAGAGAUGUGGAGGAACACCGAUGGCGAAGGCAGCCCCCUGGGAUAACACUGGACGCUCAUGCACGAAAGCGUGGGGAGCAAA